CCUACGGGAGGCAGCAGUGGGGAAUAUUGGGCAAUGGGCGCAAGCCUGACCCAGCAACGCCGCGUGAAGGAAGAAGGCUUUCGGGUUGUAAACUUCUUUUCUGCGGGACGAAGAAAGUGACGGUACCUCAGGACUAAGCGACGGCUAAAUACGGGCCAGCAGCCGCGGUAAUACGUAGGUGGCAAGCGUUAUUCGGAUUUAUUGGGUGUAAAGGGCGUGUAGGCGGGAAAGGUAGUCAGAUGUGAAAACUCAGGGCUCAACCCCGGGCGUGCAUUUGAAACUGUUUUACUUGAGUUCGGGAGAGGCAAGCGGAAUUCGGGGUGUAGCGGUGAAAUGCGUAGAUAUACGGAGGAACACCAGUUGCGAAGGCGAAAUGCUGGAGAGUAACUGACGCUGAGGCGCGAAAGCGUGGGGAUCAAACAGGAUUAGAUACCCGAGUAGUC
Molecule: ribosomal RNA, 443 nt
Filed under: uncultured bacterium
Lineage: Bacteria
Description: partial 16S ribosomal RNA
Rfam family: Bacterial small subunit ribosomal RNA
Source: RNAcentral